Molecule: non-coding RNA, 103 nt
Organism: Brassica rapa (field mustard)
Lineage: Eukaryota; Viridiplantae; Streptophyta; Magnoliopsida; Brassicales; Brassicaceae
Source: Rfam
GGUCCUAAAGGAACAUCUGAUAAAAUUAGAACGAUAUAAAGAAGAUUAGCAUGGUUCCUGUGCAAAGAUGACACACAAAUCUCAAGAAAUAGUCCAAAAAUUU